This 370-nucleotide ribosomal RNA is filed under the name uncultured bacterium. RNAcentral's name for it is "partial 16S ribosomal RNA". It matches the Rfam family "Bacterial small subunit ribosomal RNA", at positions 338 to 724 of the family's 1533-position model. The record is from RNAcentral.
CCUACGGGAGGCAGCAGUGGGGAAUAUUGCACAAUGGGGGAAACCCUGAUGCAGCAACGCCGCGUGGGUGAAGGAGCGUUUCGGCGCGUAAAGCCCUGUCAGCGGGGAAGAAGAAAGACGGUACCCGACCAAGAAGCCCCGGCUAACUACGUGCCAGCAGCCGCGGUAAUCCGUAAGGGGCAAGCGUUAGCCGGAUUUACUGGGUGUAAAGGGGGCGCAGACGGCAAUGCAAGCCAGGAGUGAAAGCCCGGGGCCCAACCCCGGUACGGCUCGUGGAACUGCAUGGCUGGAGUACCGGAGGGGCAGGCGGAAUUGCUAGUGUAGCGGGGAAAUGCGUAGAUAUUAGGAGGAACACCGGUGGCGAAGGCGG